RNAcentral lists this ribosomal RNA (395 nucleotides) under Anaplasma phagocytophilum. RNAcentral's name for it is "bacterial SSU rRNA". It matches the Rfam family "Bacterial small subunit ribosomal RNA", at positions 61 to 483 of the family's 1533-position model. Lineage: Bacteria; Pseudomonadati; Pseudomonadota; Alphaproteobacteria; Rickettsiales; Anaplasmataceae. The record is from RNAcentral.
GUCGAACGGAUUAUUCUUUAUAGCUUGCUACGAGAACAAUUAGUGGCAGACGGGUGAGUAAUGCAUAGGAAUCUACCUAGUAGUAUAGGAUAGCCACUAGAAAUGGUGGGUAAUACUGUAUAAUCCCUGCGGGGGAAAGAUUUAUCGCUACAUGAUGAGCCUAUGUUAGAUUAGCUAGUUGGUGGGGUAAUGGCCUACCAAGGCAGUGAUCUAUAGCUGGUCUGAGAGGAUGAUCAGCCACACUGGAACUGAGACACGGUCCAGACUCCUACGGGAGGCAGCAGUGGGGAAUAUUGGACAAUGGGCGCAAGCCUGAUCCAGCUAUGCCGCGUGAGUGAGGAAGGCCUUAGGGUUGUAAAACUCUUUCAGUAGGGAAGAUAAUGACGGUACCUAUA